RNAcentral lists this long non-coding RNA (630 nucleotides) under Coffea arabica (coffee). Its description in RNAcentral is "long non-coding RNA (CARA_LNC003684)". Lineage: Eukaryota; Viridiplantae; Streptophyta; Magnoliopsida; Gentianales; Rubiaceae. The record is from RNAcentral.
UGAAAUUGUUGGAGACAAAUCAAAUGCCUAAAUGGCAAUUUGUUUGGAUAUAGUAUGCAAUCAUAGUGGUUUGUUUUAAUAAGUUCUCAUUUGAUGGGAUUAUCAUGGAUGUAGGAUAAUGCUUGACUGCCAUUAGCAGAUUCUGAUAAUAAUUUUGCUUUGAUCAAAAUCUGAAUUCUUUUCCCUUUCCCUUUUUUCUGGUUUUGUCAGCUAUUUUUUUUUUAAUGAAUUUUAACUGUUCCUUUUUCCCCCUGGGAUUUUUUUUGCUGGUUCUCCGUAAUUGCUUUCUACAUUUAUGUCAUAUAUGUUUUAACUUUUCAAUUCCCCAGACUAGAAACUUGCACAAUGUUCUCUGAAAGUUCUUUUUCUUCUUGUAUCUGACUUGAUCAGAACUAAGGAUUACAGGCGAAGUUUAGUCUCUUAGUUUCAUUGGAGGAGUAUUGUUGAUUGCAUGUUGAUAUUGGAGUAUUUUGUGGUGAAAACCUUAUGGCUGAAGAAGUUAUUUGAGAAUUUAAGGUGUCCAAAAAGCACUACGAAACAAGAGUAUAGUUAGCUGUUCAAAGUAUAGGUACUAGAGUACUUUUGGAUCAAUGUAACUUUUUAUUGUUUAUCUUGUUUCCUCCAAACGUG